CAUGCAAGUCGAGCGGCAGCGGGAAAGUAGCUUGCUACUUUUGCCGGCGAGCGGCGGACGGGUGAGUAAUGCCUGGGAAAUUGCCCAGUCGAGGGGGAUAACAGUUGGAAACGACUGCUAAUACCGCAUACGCCCUACGGGGGAAAGCAGGGGACCUUCGGGCCUUGCGCGAUUGGAUAUGCCCAGGUGGGAUUAGCUAGUUGGUGAGGUAAUGGCUCACCAAGGCGACGAUCCCUAGCUGGUCUGAGAGGAUGAUCAGCCACACUGGAACUGAGACACGGUCCAGACUCCUACGGGAGGCAGCAGUGGGGAAUAUUGCACAAUGGGGGAAACCCUGGUGCAGCCAUGCCGCGUGUGUGAAGAAGGCCUUCGGGUUGUAAAGCACUUUCAGCCAGGAGGAAAGGUUGGCGCCUAAUACGUGUCAACUGUGACGUUACU
This 438-nucleotide ribosomal RNA is filed under the name Aeromonas hydrophila. RNAcentral's name for it is "bacterial SSU rRNA". It matches the Rfam family "Bacterial small subunit ribosomal RNA", at positions 54 to 479 of the family's 1533-position model. Lineage: Bacteria; Pseudomonadati; Pseudomonadota; Gammaproteobacteria; Aeromonadales; Aeromonadaceae. The record is from RNAcentral. RNAcentral also lists the same sequence under 2 other names.